CCUACGGGGGGCAGCAGUGAGGAAUAUUGGUCAAUGGACGAGAGUCUGAACCAGCCAAGUAGCGUGAAGGAUGACUGCCCUAUGGGUUGUAAACUUCUUUUAUAUGGGAAUAAAAUGUUCCACGUGUGGGAUUUUGUAUGUACCAUAUGAAUAGGGAUCGGCUAACUCCGUGCCAGCAGCCGCGGUAAUACGGAGGAUCCGAGCGUUAUCCGGAUUUAUUGGGUUUAAAGGGAGCGUAGGUGGAUUGUUAAGUCAGUUGUGAAAGUUUGCGGAUCAACCGUAAAAUUGCAGUUGAAACUGGCAGUCUUGAGUACAGUAGAGGUGGGCGGAAUUCGUGGUGUAGCGGUGAAAUGCUUAGAUAUCACGAAGAACUCCGAUUGCGAAGGCAGUUCACUGGACUGCAACUGACACUGAGGCUCGAAAGUGUGGGUAUCAAACAGGAUUAGAUACCCCUGUAGUC
RNAcentral lists this ribosomal RNA (460 nucleotides) under uncultured bacterium. RNAcentral's name for it is "partial 16S ribosomal RNA". It matches the Rfam family "Bacterial small subunit ribosomal RNA", at positions 338 to 795 of the family's 1533-position model. The record is from RNAcentral.